Molecule: unclassified non-coding RNA, 9129 nt
Organism: Acanthaster planci (crown-of-thorns starfish)
Lineage: Eukaryota; Metazoa; Echinodermata; Asteroidea; Valvatida; Acanthasteridae
Source: RefSeq, a predicted model, not a curated record
UUGAAACCUUUAAUGGGAUGGUACUCAUGUUUUAUGAGGGUUGGAAUGAAAUCAUAGAAUAGAGUCUGGUUCACGUGAUUACUCCUUUGCUGCAGAACAAAUCAACCAGAUGCUGGUCACCUGGAGAAACAGACAACCUGUUCAUGUCAAUCAGACAGAAGCUCUCUGCAAAGCAUUGAAGGAGGUUGGAAAUUCACAACUUGCUGCCAACUUGACAGAAUGGCUGACUGGGAUGGAGGGGAGAGCCAGAGGAGAUUAGGGAGACAUCACGAAGCAACAGGGCCACUGGAUGAUGACAGCCUCUACAGCAUAUCUACGCAGAUUCAUGCAGGUGAAUGGAGGGGACUGGCAACAAGGCUUGGCUUCAGUGCUGCAGAAGUCUCCCACUUUCCAAGUGAUCACUCCUUCACUGCAGAACAAAUCAACCAGAUGCUGGUCACCUGGAGAAACAGACAACCUGUUCAUGUCAAUCAGACAGAAGCUCUCUGCAAAGCAUUGAAGGAGGUUGGAAAUGCACAACUAGCUGACAACUUGACAGAGAAUCAACCAAGUGCAUGCAAGCAACCAACCACACAGAGGGCUGUCUUAUGCUCACAGACACCAGGAGAGUUGGAUGAUAGCAGUCUGUAUGACAUAGCUGAACAGAUUGAUGCAAAUGAAUGGACAAGACUUGCUGCAAAGCUUGGCUUCAACCAAGCAAGAGUCUCUCACUUCAAGGACAAUCAUUCCAGUGUUGUUGAUCAGAUCAAUGGGAUGCUGGUUGCAUGGAGGAAGAAACAACCAGGUGAUGUCAAUCAGAGAGAAGCUCUCUGCAAAGCACUAAGGGAAGUUGGGGACAUCAAUCUUGCCGAUAAGCUGAGUGAGUACAGUGCGUCUGAUGUGCAGUCCCUGAAUGCUGCCAAUAUCUGUGAAGAUGAACUGAAGUCACACUACAAGGAGACAGGUAGCUUUCUACAGAUGAACCCAUGGUGUGAGGAUCUCAAAAAACCCAUUGCAGAGAUGUGUACCAAAGUACAGUUAAUAACUGGUGAGGGAAAAACAGAAUAUACACUGGUAUCUUAUGAGGAAAUGUUGCUGCUGAAAACAAAAGAAGGUAAAUUGAUCCCAAUAGCUGUACUAAGUGGGCUGGCUGGUAGAGGAAAGACCACUCUUUUUGACAAGAUUGCAUAUGAUUGGGCAGCUGGCUCUUGCAAGGUCUUACAGAAGUAUAAACUGGUCUUCCUGUUGAAAAUGUGUAAUCUGAAGCAGGAGUCAAAUCUUGUUGGUUCAGUUUUUGACCAACUCCUAGCAGAAGACACAAAUUUAGACUUGAAUGCUCUGGAGUCAUACAUCAAGAUGAAUUCUGGCAAAGUCCUCAUACUCUUGGAUGGCUUUGAUGAGUUGAGGACCACUUCCCUCAACAAAUCCUCAUUUGGUUCCAUUCUGAAAAUCCUCAAUCGUAGGAUGUGUAGAGGUUGCACUGUACUUGUGAGCACCCGCCCCUCCCACUUAGUCAGAUUGACAACGAAGGCAUUGAUUCAACAACCAUUCACACAUGUCAGGGUCAUGGGGUUCAGUAAAGAAGACAUCACUGAGUAUGUGAACAAAUUUUACUGUGAUGAACCUACUAAGGCAAAGGAACUUCUGACAAGGAUUAGAUCCUCAAACCUUUUUUCAGUUUUGGCAGAGAGUCCAAUGUUGCUUCUGAUGAUGUGUUCCCUGUGGAGUAAAGAUUCCAAACUUCCAGAAACAAUGUCCAGCUUCUACCACAACGCAGUUGAUGAAAUUGGAAAAAGAAAAGAUGUGUCAGAACAAGAAAUAAACAGUGUAGUGAUUGAACUUGGCAAGGUUGGUUUGCAAGGUCUCCUUUUUCCAGAUCAAGUGCUGUCUUUUAAAGACAGUGACUUUGAGCCGGGAGAGCUUAACCUUGCUCUAAAAGCAGGUAUUUUGACAACACAGAGAGUCUUCAAGGGACGAGUCCCCCACGGCAGUGUGCAGUUCAUUCAUAAGACAUUCCAGGAAUUCUGUUCUGCUUUAUACCUCCAGAACUUGUUUGAAGUAAACAGACAAGAAUUUCAGAAGAUUCUGAAUGAAAUUGUGUCAAAAAGCCCAGUGGAUUUUGAAUACCUUUUGCGCUUUUGUUGUGGAGGAAAUGAGACGUGUACAUUUGAGAUACUGAAUGUGUUUCUGGCGAAGUGUAAGAAUCGUUUGUCAGUUAGGGAUAGGGUGGGUCAGUUGGCACUUCACUGUUACUUUGAAAGUCAGUGUAAGUGCCUACCAUCUAAGAAGUUCAUACAAGCAGUCUUACGUGAUAACAUCAACCUUCAUGGUCUUCUUGAUGAUACAUUGCUUUCAGUGACAUACUUUCUGAGACGUGUUGCAGAGGAUAGUGGCAGUGCUUACCUUGAUAAAAUAAAAAAGCUGAACAUUUCGCACUGUGAGUGGAUAAGGUCUGUCACAGAUUUGGCCUUUGCUGUGAGUGCAAUGAAAAGCCUGAAUAAGGCACAAAUCAUUGGUAGCUUAACCAGUGAAACCAUAGCACCUGUCAUGAAGUCUCUCCGUAAUCUAGCCAAAUUGGUUUCAUUGAAUCUCUUUUACAACUAUCUGGAUAGUACAGCAGCAUCAUGGGGAAUGCAUUUGAAGGAGAUCAAGCCCCUGCAGUGGUUGAACUUGAGUCACUGCUCAUUGAAUGGAGAGGACAUGGUACAUGUUGCUGAGUCACUCAAGGAUCUUCCCAAUUUGGCUAGAUUGGAUGUUCCUAAUAAUAACCUUGGUGGUACAGCAGCAUCAUGGGGAAUUCAUCUGAAGGAGCUCAAACCCCUGCAGGAGCUGAUCUUGAGGAACUGUUCAUUGAAUGGACAGGACAUGGUACAUGUUGUUGAGUCACUCAAGGGUCUACACAAUUUGGCUACAUUGGAUAUUCCUGGUAAUAACCUUGGUGGUACAGCAGCAUCAUGGGGAAUCCACGUGAAGGAGCUCAAGCCCCUGCAGAGGCUGGACUUGAGGAACUGCUCAUUGAAUGGACAGGACAUGGUACAUGUUGUUGAGUCACUCAAGGAUCUACCCAAUUUUGCUGAAUUGGAUGUUUCUGAUAAUAACCUUGACGGCACAACAGCAUCAUGGGGAAUGCAUCUGAAGGAGCUCAAGCCCCUGCAGGAGGUGGACUUGAGUCACUGCUCAUUGAAUGAACAGGACAUGGUACAUGUUGUUGGAGCACUCAAGGAUCUACCCAAUUUGGCUAGAUUAGAUGUUUCUGGUAAUAACCUUGGUGGUACAGCAGCAUCAUGGGGAAUGCACUUGAAGGACCUCAAGCCCCUGCAGAAGAUGGACUUGAGGGGCUGCUCAUUGAAUGGACAGGACAUGGUACAUGUUGUUGAGUUACUCAAGGAUCUACCCAAUUUCGCUAGAUUGGAUGUUUCUGAUAAUAACCUUGGUGGUUCAGCAGCAUCAUGGGGAAUGCAUUUGAAGGAGCUCAAGCCCCUGCAGAGGAUGGACUUGAGUCAUUGCUCAUUGAAUGAACAGGACAUGGUACACGUUGCUGAGUCACUCAAGGAUCUACCCAAUUUGGCUAGAUUGGAUGUUCCUUAUAAUAACCUUGGUGGUACAGCAGCAUCAUGGGGAAUGAACUUGAAGGACCUCAAGCCCCUGCAGAGGAUGGACUUGAGGGGCUGCUCAUUGAAUGGACAGGACAUGGUACAUGUUGCUGAGGCACUCAGGGAUCUACCCAAUUUGGUUUCAUUGGAUGUUCAUAGUAAUAACCUUGGUGGUACAGCGGCAUCAUGGGGAAUGUAUCUGAAGGAGCUCAAACCCCUGCAGGAGCUGGACUUGAGAAGCUGCUCAUUGAAUGGACAGGACAUGGUACAUGUUACUAAGUCACUUAAAGAGCUGCCCAACUUGGUUUCAUUGGAUGUCUCUGGUAAUGCAGACCUGGCUGGUACAGCCACUUCAUGGUGCUUGCCUUUGAAACAUGCAAAGGCCCUGCGGGACCCGGAGCUCUACAGCUGUGAGCUGACAGAAGAGGAUAAGAAACGCCUUCAUGAUGCACUGGGUAACCUAGAUAAAUUGCUUCUGUAGCACUAGGGGAUAUUGCUUGGUAAUUGACAGGAAAAAAUGAAUUUUGGUUGUAACAUUUCAAUGACAAGUUGAUAUGAGAUAUCAUACAAGCAAACACUGAAAGGUUUAGUGUGUGUGCAUGCCUUAGCCAGACUAAUUUAUUGUGCAUUUGUUGUAAAAGAAACUUCUGGAUUCUAAAUACAUGCAUUGAACAAAUAACCAGCCCAUUGUGUACCUUACAUUUUGUUCAAAUUUAUGAAAUUCAUAUAUCCAUUAAACUUAUGUGGUCACCAGAUUCCCCUGAGCGAAGCACUAAUAAAAUCAGAGCUUUACAACUCAGUGCAACUAGUUACAUGUCCCUCAUAAUGCAAAGUCCCAUUGAAAACCUACCCUGUCAAGAAGAUACAAGCUUGCAACAAAACUAGAACUUUGGUAGCACAUUCAUGCAUGUUACACCAACAGUAGAUUUUCUAGAUGUUGCACAUGCAGAAGAGAGAAUAUUUCAUCCUUCUUUGUUGCAGCGACUCAAGAGAAGUCGUGGUGCCUUCAACAAUAUUAACUGUAACCUUCUUCCUCCAUUCUUACAGUUAAAGUUUUAUGUUCUUUUUCCAUUUCUCCUUGGAUGAAAAAACACAUUGAGAACUGGUCAGACUUUGACCUUGUGAGGUGGAUUGACUAGUGAUUGUGAGUGAUGGUACUUCCUUGUUGCCCUCGUUACCGGUAGCUAGUAGGAUGUUGAAGCGCAGGAAGCCAAAGUUGGAAACAAGGCAAGCAAAAACAAUCCGCACCAUCGGCUAGUGGCAUUUGGGUGCCUGUGGAUGUUGAAAAUCUUCUUUUAUUUGUUUGGUGUGAUUGGCACUUUCCAAACUAGUAAUGAUGAGUGAAGGCAUUCGAAACCUUGCCAGAAAGUGUUACAUGUAAUCAUCAUGAUGACCAUGUGAGAGGUUGAGCUGGUCUGACUAUGGACCCUAUUAACCGCUGCUGUGGCAGACUUGGCAAUUGUCUUGUGUCCAUAAGUCACAAGAUGUGCAAUGUACAAUGCUAGGCAAAAUGGGUCAACAGGAAACACUGUGAUGCCAGCUUGGGAAGAUGCCCUACUCUCCUACCUUCCCAAGAUGCCUUGGCAUUUCUUGGUAGUUGACAAAGCCUUUGUUGGCAUGAGCAGGGUUUGUAGGUUAAAUCAGGUCGGACUGUGUAAGAUGAAGUUCCAGAGGGAGUAUACCAGGCUAUUCCAAAUCCUUGUCAAAACAAGAGGAGAACAGCAACAGUUAAUGGGUUCAACAUACAGUAAGUACAAAAAAAAAACAUCGAGUAGAACUCAUGAUACAGAAAUCACCGUAGGCCUAAGUAGUUUCUCAAAUAGAACUUCAUAGGUACUGAGAACCCAUGUUGCAAAAUUCAUCCUCGGUGGGAGACUUUCAGAUGCAUGGUGACGGCAGACAAACCAGUCCUUUUCCACAGUUGCGCACAUGCUCAGGAUUAACGCGCAUGCCUAGAACUGCACGCACAUGCCCACACCAACCAAAAAAGGAUCAUUGUGUGUGCCGCUUAUAAAAGCUAUAUUUUUAAAGUGCCAGGCUCUUUGGUCUAGGAGUUAAGACUAAAGCUUGCAUGGUGUGAACUCGUUUGCCUGUAAUUAUUAUGAUUUGGUGGGUUGGAAUUUGAAAUUGUGCUGCCCAGCUCUUGUGAAGACACAUGAAUCUUGCACAAAGAAACUUGUAGUACGUGGUUUCAGUUGAAUAGAAAUUGCAUGUUUUGAUUCCAGUAACGAAAGUUCUGGCUGUUUAAAGCUGUAUUUCCAUUGUCAAAGGACAGGUAGGCCGAGUUAAAAUCUGCUUCAUUUCUAUUCUGUCAUUAGUGCUGUAAACAAGGUGACUCAGCAACAGUGUCUUUCUUUUACUGUGUCUCUGCUGCUUUCUGGUUCCCUUGGAAGUGAGUUCCAGUCAUCUACCACUUUCUGGCUGAAGACACUCAGCCUGUCGGCUGUGAGGGGAUCUUUCUUUGACUAUGUCUCUGCUGCUUUCUGGUUCCCUUGGAACUGAGUUCCAGUCAUCUACCACUUUCUGGCUGAACACACUCAGCCUGUCAGUUGUGAGGGGAUCUUUCUUUGACUAUGUCUCUGCUGCUUUCUGGUUCCCUUGGAACUGAGUUCCAGUCAUCUACCACUUUCUGGCUGAACACACUCAGCCUGUCAGUUGUGAGGGGAUCUUUCUUUGACUAUGUCUCUGCUGCUUUGUGUUUCCCCUGGGGGAGUGAGUUCCAGUCAUAUAUCACCCAUUGACUUCAGAAACACAUUCAGUCUAUCAGCUCAUCAGGUGGAAAAUCUCUGUAUAUAUAUCUACUUGUCUUUUUUCACUCUCUGUUAGGAAUCAUGAAAUCCAGAAUUUAACAGUCCUAGGUCUCUUUCCCUGUAGUCCCCAUGGUAUUUCCAUCCCUCAAGAGAAACGCAUGAAGAACCUAUGCCAUGUCAGUGAUUGAAACCUGUCUCAAGAGGUUGAGUAAAAUAGUUUCUGCUUAUCAGACUAAUCAGUGAAGAGUCUGUUCAGAUGAAUCCUGGCAGUCAAAUGUAGAUCUUGUAACAGAAAAGGUAUCUUUGAUGCACAGAUGAAGCACCUGUCUUGGAAAGACAGUCCCCUGACUCUGUCCUUUUGAAAGGUUUGGUUUUGUUUCAGGAUUAAUUUCAGUGCUGUGCAAGCAGCCUAACAGUUUAUGAGGAGGCAGUAGGCAGACUAUGCAUUGGUAACCACAGCAUACUACUAGAUAAUUCUGAGCUUUACAGCCGUCUAUAGUGGCAGCUGUUUGACUAGAGACACAAAAACGCUCUAAAUGGGGCCUGAGCAAUAUUUCCCUCUUUGGUUAUCAAUUUCUGCAAGUUUUUCAAUGCACCUGAACAUUUCAUGCUCAUGAGUAAAGCGUGCAUGCUUUAGUUUGAAUGAAAAAGUGAAGCAUUUUAUGUUUUGACACAGGUGCUUUUCCCUAUUGCAAUUAAAAAAUAGAUGGAUCCAACAAAAUUGACCUGUAAAAUUUGACAUUAAAAAUGGACAUUGAUUUUCAUUACAUAAUAGAAAUCACCGUCUGGCCUCAAUCCAGUUGCUUUUGUAGCCUUCACACUGAAACACACAAAAAGCAGGCAACGGAGUAAUGGCAUACUCAAACUUCAAGGGGCGCACUAAGGAUGGACCAACUUGGAAUUAUGACCUGUUGUAACAGCCAAAUGUUUAGUUUCAAAUACACUUGUACGUGAAAUUUGACUUGUCACACUUUUGAUAACCUUUCACGAUUCAUGAUUUUUUUGUAUUGAAUUCAGCAAUGAUUGGGAGGUUUAUUUGGUGAGUUUCUAUGUAAGAUUUGAUUGUAUACAAAUGCUCAUCUAUGCCAAUUUCUUGGACAGCAUUCUGGAAUUCUGUGUUGGGAUUUUUAUAAACUGAAAGACAGCUGCACAGAUUUCAGUUGAAUUCUAAACUUUGAGGAAACCAAACAAGACAGUUCUGAGUGACAGGGUUUGGCUGUGUGUGUCAGUAUUGUUGGUUGCAAAUAAAAAGUAUAAAUAUUUAGAGACUGGGUCAUUUCAAGGCACAAAUAUCACUGAAAUAUUUCUGAUGCGUUCCCUGGAGGGACCACACUAUCAAAAUGAGGGUUGCCUGUUGCACAUACUCAGAAAUAAGUGAAAAUUCUCAUCUAAAGGAUUCCAAAGUUUGAUUUGCAUUUAUAUUGUCUGAAAGGCAAAUCCAUCCUUAACAAUAGAUUCUCCAGCCAAAUCAACUUACAAAGCUUCCUUUUUCAAAUGCAUUUCAGUAAUUACUUAGAUCAAGAGUCACUUAAGAUUAAACUAGGUACAUCAAGUACUUAAGAAAAUGUAAGGUGCAGUUGAUAGAGAUAGUGACAUUGUUUUAAUAUCUGAGAAUAGUGGACCUACAUGUACAUGUAAUUACUCUUCACCAAACAACUUGCCUGUACUAAACUAUACAUGUUAUGGAACCGGGAGGUCUGUGCAAUACGCUGAUGAAGACAGUGCAUUUGUUCAUGGAGAGAAAAAGACACCACUUUUAUAUCAUUAUACGUUUGCAUAAAUAUUGUCAUACAAGUUAGAAGAGAAGAUGCAUUUUUGUAACCUUUGAUCUGAAUCAUGGAGCCUGCCAGCAUUUAAAUAUGUAACUCACGUUUUGUUCCUAUCCUGGAUCACUGGCAACUCCUGAAUUACCAUUAAAUCAACCAUAACCUGUAAAAUCUCACCCGUGGUUAAGUCGCUGGGAAGCAGUACCGUUAAUAUUGCAAGAUGAAAAUGCUGUGAAAUAAUGUCAGAAGAGUUAGAGAGCUUCAAUUACAACUUGUGUCUAAUGAGUAUGCCAUGGAACAUCUGUUUUGAAUGUUAUUUGUGUAACCUACCUUCUCAGAUUGAAAACGGAGUCACCAUUUCACGGUAUAGUACUUGUAUUUAUAAUCAAGAGUGUGUAUUUUCUUCCAUACUUGUACUCAAUGUAAAUGCACUCAUACUUGUGCAAGUGUUCUGGCCUGCAGCGUCCAGGAAGGUUUAAAAACUAUUACAUAGUCCUGAGUUUUACACCACUAUUUUGGUAUUUAGCUGAGGAAGCCGGGAUUCGGCAUCACUUCAUUUUCCCCACAGUACUUAAUACCGAUUUAUUUUCUCAUAUAGUGCUGUAGAUUCAAUUGGGCACUGAAUCCAGAGUUCCUUUGCCAACUGUCUCAUCUUUUGUAAAGACCUGAAGAAAUUGUUUUGGUUUCCCUAUUGAAAAACAUUCCUGAUUUUUUUACAAGGCUUAGGGUACCCUUCCUGUCUGUACUUUUUGGAAGGUCUCCCUCAGUAAAUUCAACUAGUUCUCUCUCAUGAUUGUAUGGGUUUUCCUCAGUUUCCUCUCACAGUGUCAUGAACAAGCAAGCUCGGAAGAAUUGUUCCAGCAACUGUAUGUCCAAGGCCCAAUGGGUAUUUUCUUUCUAGUUGUGGUUAUAAAUCAUUUAUCUACGUUCAAACUUUAGCUGUUGGUUCAAGCAUCAUACGUGUUUCAAUCAUUUUAUUUAAUACUCUCUUUAUUGCCAAUAAAGUUGCCAAUGAACAAUGGUAAAGUUGUCAGGAACUUA